AUGGCAGAAUGCUUCAAUAAGGUGCUCAAGGGUGUACGUGCAUUACCCGUGACGGCAAUAGUUUAAUACACAUUUGACAAGAUGAAUGAAUACUUUUUAAAGCACUCAAUGGAGACUGAUAAGCAGAUUGCUGGUGAGAACAAGGAUAAGCACAAGUACAGUUUCCCACCAAAGGUUGAAGAAUGGUUGGAAUUUCAAUCACGAAAGGCAGACUCCGAAGAAGCUGUACUAUAUGACGACAAUGAGUGGAAGUAUGAGGUGAAAGAGCCCGGAGGAACCACAAACGAUGGCCGCCAACACGGAGGCCGGGCUUUCAAGGUCUCCCUAACACGGUGUGAUUGCAGCUGCAUGAGGCCGUCUUUGCUUCAUCUCCCAUGCUCGCACUUGUUAAAUGCAUCCCGGGUUAGGAAUGUGGACGUCAAUCACCCUCUUACCGUGAGGGAGUCCGAGUUCUCAAUCAUGACGGUUAAGAAUACAUGGACUCCACGGUUCCAGCCAUACUUGGACCAAUCACAAUGGCCGGAACCAUUGGGCACUGCAGUGCUGCUAUAA
RNAcentral lists this ribosomal RNA (552 nucleotides) under Triticum aestivum (bread wheat). RNAcentral's name for it is "partial small subunit ribosomal RNA". Lineage: Eukaryota; Viridiplantae; Streptophyta; Magnoliopsida; Poales; Poaceae. The record is from RNAcentral.